AGCUCCUUAUGGAGCGAAGUCUUUGAUUCCCCGCUGCCAAGAAAAGCUUCUAGCGAGAUAAAAGGUGCCUGUACCGCAAACCGACACAGGUAGGCGAGGAGAGAAUCCUAAGGUGUGCGAGAGAACUCUGGUUAAGGAACUCGGCAAAAUGACCCCGUAACUUCGGGAGAAGGGGUGCUUUCUUAACGGAAAGCCGCAGUGAAUAGGCCCAAGCGACUGUUUAGCAAAAACACAGCUCUCUGCGAAGCCGUAAGGCGAAGUAUAGGGGGUGACACCUGCCCGGUGCUGGAAGGUUAAGGAGAGGGGUUAGCGUAAGCGAAGCUCUGAACUGAAGCCCCAGUAAACGGCGGCCGUAACUAUAACGGUCCUAAGGUAGCGAAAUUCCUUGUCGGGUAAGUUCCGACCCGCACGAAAGGUGUAACGAUUUGGGCACUGUCUCAACCAGAGACUCGGUGAAAUUAUAGUACCUGUGAAGAUGCAGGUUACCCGCGACAGGACGGAAAGACCCCGUGGAGCUUUACUGUAGCCUGAUAUUGAAUUUUGGUACAGUUUGUACAGGAUAGGCGGGAGCCAUUGAAACCGGAGCGCUAGCUUCGGUGGAGGCGCUGGUGGGAUACCGCCCUGACUGUAUUGAAAUUCUAACCUACGGGUCUUAUCGACCCGGGAGACAGUGUCAGGUGGGCAGUUUGACUGGGGCGGUCGCCUCCUAAAGUGUAACGGAGGCGCCCAAAGGUUCCCUCAGAAUGGUUGGAAAUCAUUCGUAGAGUGCAAAGGCAUAAGGGAGCUUGACUGCGAGACCUACAAGUCGAGCAGGGACGAAAGUCGGG
Molecule: ribosomal RNA, 827 nt
Filed under: Bacillus cereus
Lineage: Bacteria; Bacillati; Bacillota; Bacilli; Caryophanales; Bacillaceae
Description: partial 23S ribosomal RNA
Rfam family: Bacterial large subunit ribosomal RNA
Source: RNAcentral